RNAcentral lists this long non-coding RNA (227 nucleotides) under Elaeis guineensis (African oil palm). RNAcentral describes it as "long non-coding RNA (EGUI_LNC058613)". Lineage: Eukaryota; Viridiplantae; Streptophyta; Magnoliopsida; Arecales; Arecaceae. The record is from RNAcentral.
UGCACCUCUCAGACCAGCCUAGAUUAGUUCCAGAACUCUCUUCUUCUUUUUUUUUCUCUUCCCUAUUGUUCUUCUUCCAUUUUUCCUCCUUUACAUUCUUCCUGUUCAAUUUUCCGCGAGCGCCCCAUCUCUUAUUUUUCCCAAUUUCUCUGAGAUUUUUAGGGUUUUCACUUGAUUCAAAAUAUCCUCCAAUGCUUCCUCCUCUAGCAGUUCUAGGAGUUCAUCCG